Molecule: non-coding RNA, 29 nt
Filed under: Homo sapiens (human)
Lineage: Eukaryota; Metazoa; Chordata; Mammalia; Primates; Hominidae
Source: RNAcentral
UGAUGACCCCUAGUGAAACGUUCAGUUUC